GGUGGAGUAGCUCAGCUGGUAGAGCGCUCGCUUAGCAUGCGAGAGGUAGUGGGAUCGAUGCCCACAUUCUCCA
This 73-nucleotide transfer RNA is filed under the name Petromyzon marinus (sea lamprey). RNAcentral's name for it is "tRNA-Ala (AGC) (tRNA-Ala-AGC-30-1)". It matches the Rfam family "tRNA". From Rfam's summary of the family: Transfer RNA (tRNA) molecules are approximately 80 nucleotides in length. Their secondary structure includes four short double-helical elements and three loops (D, anti-codon, and T loops). Further hydrogen bonds mediate the characteristic L-shaped molecular structure. tRNAs have two regions of fundamental functional importance: the anti-codon, which is responsible for specific mRNA codon recognition, and the 3' end, to which the tRNAs corresponding amino acid is attached (by aminoacyl-tRNA synthetases). tRNAs cope with the degeneracy of the genetic code in two manners: having more than one tRNA (with a specific anti-codon) for a particular amino acid; and 'wobble' base-pairing, i.e. permitting non-standard base-pairing at the 3rd anti-codon position. The record is from RNAcentral. Lineage: Eukaryota; Metazoa; Chordata; Hyperoartia; Petromyzontiformes; Petromyzontidae.